RNAcentral lists this transfer RNA (72 nucleotides) under Camelus bactrianus (Bactrian camel). It matches the Rfam family "tRNA". From Rfam's summary of the family: Transfer RNA (tRNA) molecules are approximately 80 nucleotides in length. Their secondary structure includes four short double-helical elements and three loops (D, anti-codon, and T loops). Lineage: Eukaryota; Metazoa; Chordata; Mammalia; Artiodactyla; Camelidae. RNAcentral also lists the same sequence under 2 other names. The record is from Rfam by way of RNAcentral.
GAGGGUAUAGCUCAGUAGUACAUCUCAUGUUUUGCAUACAUGAGGUCCUGGGUUCAAUCCCCAGUAACUCCA